GUAUCUACAUCGCAGACCAAACGUUUUGAGCGAUGAUAGUGGGUGCGAUGUUUUUAUAAGUGGUUGUGGGAUAGGUCUAGGGGAAAUGGGGGCGGAGGGAAGGUAGAGGAGAGAAGAGAGUUGGGUGAGCGGCAGCCGGGACUACUUGUCGUCGCCUCCCCGGUACCGCUGCUUGCUUGCUGGUCGGCGCAGGCAGCUGGGGAUGCAGCUCGAGCGGACGAGCGCGCCGGGGAGAGGGGGAAGGCAGAGGGGGCUCGGGGGCGGAAUGAGAAGAGAUGACCCUGCACCACAAGAGCGCGAGCCGCACCCCCGGACGCCGUGACUGCGGUAGCUGCUGUUCCUCGAGGUGGAGCACGUAGUGUUCCUGCCGGUCGCGGUGUAGUUCCCGACACUUGGACACUACGUAGCCACCUGCUUAGACCAAAUGCUCUUUCUCUGUAUACGCUCGCUAAACAAAAGAAGAAAGUCCCACGGAGGAUGUCUAUGUUCAUGUACGAGUCCAGUCCAUAUAUACAAACAAAGAAACAGGUGGCCAAUCUGAUUUUGAAGAAAAUCAUCCCAUUUAGAUUAUAAAGCACCAUUGACAGGUCUCUUUUUUUACCUACCUCACUCAACUCAACGUUAAGGAUGUUUCAUUUAUUAUUUUUAAGAUUAUUUCAUAACCAAAUUGAUUUUGUAAGUCUUAAGGAAAACCCUAAGAAACCUAGGUUUAGGAUUGGUCAGGUAAACCAAUUGUGUUUACCUAAUGACUUUACUUAUACGUUUUUUUUAGUCUCUACUACUGGAACCCUAACUGUUACGUAACAGUAGUUUAUCUGUGACGCCGGUGAUAGCAUCUCCCACCUUUCCUCCUAUUCGCUGUGGUUACCCUACGGUACAAACUUAUCUCUUGUACCUUAACACACCCCUCUCCCAAUAGGAAAUUGGUAAUUCGGUACGAACAAUCCGAUCCCCAUACAUCAUAAAAAAAGAGGGCAACGUUGCGUGCCCCGAAAAACGAUCAUAUUGAAAUUGUUGAUGUUAGAACUCUUAAAAAAGGUAAGAAAAAAUCGGGUACGGAAGGUGAUUAAAAGACGUGUUGCUUCUAUAUCCGAUGUGUGGAGGUGUAAUAAAGAGAGAGUUUUUUUAUUGGAGGUGUACUAACGGUGAAGUUUGAGGUUUCCUAAAGGUCGGUGUUGAGUGCACACCAGUCCUUCUGUUCAGUUCAGUUCACCUCGUAAUCCAUGUGCGAGACGACACAUUUGUGUGUGUGUGUGUGUGUGUGUUUCUAUGAAGUUAGGUGAGGAAAUAAGAACGAUCCUCAGAGCGGCGAGACGGAGCGUGCCAUUGGCCUCAAACCAGCUGCUGUUCUGAGACCAUUGAUGCUUGGGAAGGUAGAGGGGAUAGUACGAAAGAGGCCAACAGGUACCUCGACAACGAACGACUUAAAUCCGAAACAAAAAAAAGCUACUUCCCGAGAAUUAAAUCCGAAUCAACCUUAUUAAGGAACGUUAUGAUGAUAAAAAUUAACAGUCACGGAAGCUACUAGGUACGAGGUAGACGUGUGUAUAAAUAAUACGCACAAAUAUAAGAGUUUUUUUCUACCGCACACAAAUAGACAAUUGGCAUAGCGAAUCGAUUCUAGCAUUGUUCUAUAACCAUCAACAUGCGAAAGAUUUUUCCUUGUAUAAAAGGAGUGUUUUGAUUCUCUGCUAGUUGAAAUCCUUAACGUUGAAAUAUCUGUCAUAAUUAGAUCUGACCAUAGAACCAUUGGUACACGCAAGUACAUGGUAAAUCAAACAUAUCGGUCACUCCUUAAUUCGUAUAUAAAAGCCGUACUCGAGAAAAUUUAACGAUCUACUCUUCCUUAGAAUUGAAUUAACCAGAACACUUAACAUUAUAUGAUAAACCAACUUGACCACUAUAAAAGUAUGAUUGUUCAAAAGUGUAAGGGCUACACCUGCGCCCCAACUAACUGCGCCUGAUCGCGCCGGGCCACCCGCGAUACGAGAAGUUGGGCCACUUCGGGCCUUCGGUGCAGCGUGUCUACUAGCAGGUCCACUAGUACUGUGGUUUCCAACGGCUCCACCUCCUGGAGCUACGGCCCCCCCCCCCCUAAACCCAGGUGGCCGUAGACUUGAAGCUCGGAACCAUCUAUGUAGAUCUCUUCUCCAAACAAAUCCAACCACCACUUGUGAUCCCUUCCAUGGGUACAAAGCUACUACCAACACACGCAUACUAAAAUUUACCUGAGAACACUAGAGAAGAUCAACUCUACCAAGAUACUGGAAUCAAAUAGAACGUGACCUACACAGAGACUAAAGGUAGGUACUUAUACCGUAGAUUAAAAAAAAUUAAGGAUUAAUCGAUCAUCAUCGCGCCCCCUUUUCCACGUACGAUGAUCAGGAUUAAUCGAUCAUCAUCGCACCCUCUUUUUACGUGCGAUGAUCAUGAAUCCUAUCAUUCAUCGCACCCAAUAUUUUUUCGCGAUGACGAUAGAAGUCAAUGGUCAUCGCGACCCUUUUUGUUCGCGAUGACGAUUUUUUAUCAACAUCGCAAGAUCAUCAUCGCGCAGAUGGUCGCGAUGACCAUCUUUUUUUGGUUGCGAUGACCAUUCGUAAAAGGAUCAUCACACCCCUUCCUGUUCUGCCGCCGAGACCUCGCGCGCUUCUUCCACUGCCGUUUCUGCUUCCCCUUCUUCUGUUCGGCCCCUCCCAGCAGCAGCUCUUGACCGGACGGCGGGCCGAUCUAGGUCCCGCUGACCUAAACCAGUUACUAGGUCGUCCUUCUAGACUCCUAGACCAACUCCCCCCUAACUAAGGGGUGCCAAGAAUCGCCGAAAGCCUCCUGCUCUGGCUAGGCGCCGGCGUCCUCCCACUGACACAGGAACGCUGGGUGUAGUUGGCGUCAAAGAGAAACGGGGGGGGGGGUUUAGGAAAGAAGGUUCCAAAAGACUUGAAAAAACCUCGGGUUGAAGUAGUGAAAAGAGGGUUGCGGUAGUGUAUGGAACGAUGUAUGCACAGGUACGCACACUUGAAAGACCCGAUAGCUGACGUGAUCCCAGAGAAGUUUGUGUAAAAGUGAACAGCAAGAGUCAGACGUUUUUUCCGAUUGGACUCACUACUCUCCUGUGUACACUAGGUCUACACACCUCCAGAUCCCUAGAUCUACUCCUCAUUUUCAUGAAAGGGACGACAUCAAGAAAGACAAAGUCAGUCUCCCACCGUCAGCUGGACCAAGAUGACAUUCCUGGUUGGCUGGGGACCAGUCAGCUGACCGGAAGAGGGCAAAAGGUAUCUCGCUCAUUUCUUCGGAAGAGGGAACUUUCACUGAGGUCGACUCUUUCACCUCCACUUGUACAACCAACUCGCUCAUCAGGUUGAACAGGCGCUGCCACACUGACCGCACCUGAACAAUCUCCACAAAGAAUCAGCUGCGUAGGUCGGUGAGGUUGGGCACUAGUAGGUUACACCUACAUGAGCCCAUAACCACUGUUGUGAGCCCAGGUGGGCCUCCUUCAACUGUUCCUCUGCCACCACGUCACCAACGUCCCGUAGUGAUCGUUGUUCCUGUUGGGGUCCCCCAGAUCCUCCUAAGGAGGUGAGCUGUUGUGGUUGCUUGGUCUGUUCUAGAUGUGAUUCUACAUAAGCUACGGGUUGCCUCUCGUCCUCGUCCUCCCUCUCCGCUCGCCCCCACUGUCACCACUGACUUUAAGACUGCCUCCUGCUCUGUUCCUCUCACUUCUGAGCUCGUCACCACACCUCCAGCUGAGAGGUGGAGCGUGCCUUCCUCGAGGUUCGUCUCCAUCCUGGGUCGUUCACAAGCACCGUUUCGAUGAGGUGGCUGGCCUGUCUGGAAUUUCGCGUGACCUUGUAGAAGAGGACACGACUGAUUCUUUCGAGGCUUCGUCGGGUUUCUGCGUAGCAGUUUCGGAGCCUUCCGGAAAGGGUUCUAAUUUCACCUAUAGGGGUAGCGAAGACCACGACGAUGGAGACCCUGAAGAUAAAUGGUUCUACUACUACUGCUCCUCUACCUUCUGCAUCAGUGGAGGUUGCGCCGAGGCGGGUUACAAUAACUUGAAGGUCUACUGCUGCUUCUACACGGCGUCUCUGGAUAACCUUCCUCCCCGCCCUGAAGUUCGUCCUUCCGUGGCCGAUCGUUUUGCAGGGUCAGUUGCGGCCGCUGCCUUGGUCACUAAAUCGUCAGGUCUCUGGAGUUGACCCAAAGACAUUGAAAACAGCAAGGUCAUAGCUCACUUGCAGGAACUAGUAGUUGACGUGUUCAGGGAUAAAGCAGACAUCUUGUGGUGCGGAGCUUAGCAGUUCAACAGCGCUGAGAAGGUGGCAGAGGCGACAAACAGUGGGUAGCGCAAAGCCUCCUAAUCCGUUCGCAACUAUUCCUUCGGUAUGCGGUUCGUCCGGACUACUACCUCGCCUACUUAUGCCACGUACUCUGGUCGGUUCAACGGAUACUACGGUCACGUCGAGAGGUUCGGUUACAGGUCUUUAGGACACUCGAGUAUAGGGUUAAACGACUUAAACUCUCUUUCGUCUAGGUCGAGUUAGAACUGAACCUCAACCGGUUCUUCUUGAACGUCUUCCGGUUUCUGCUUUGUUGACCAUACCUUCUCUUUUACUCCGUCCGAGACCGUAUCUUCCUGGAACUAGAACGGCGUCGUGUCCUCCGAGACCUCUUUUGUUGUGAGCGACUAUUCUUCGACCGAAGUUAGCCCCGCGAUCUCCUUCUGUUGCAGUUCGACUUCUGACGAGAACGGCUUCGAUUAUCUCUUCACUGGGUAAACUUCUUCCUGUUUCAUCGGAACUUGCUUUUCUAACUUAAGUAAAGAGCCUUCUCUUUACUGGACCUCCGAAUAGACCCGCCUGAGCGGUUCUUCAAUAAGGAAUACGAACUUCUUAAGACAGUUUUGAAACUCCUUCUUUGACUCGCUUAGCUCUGUUAGAACCUGGGGCAGUUAAGGGAACAAUUCCUACUUCGACAGUACUUGCACGAAGCUGACCUUAGGGCAGAACGGUUGGAAUAUCUGAUGGAACAAGCUGACUUCCAACGCCACGGCGCCUAACUGUGCUGCGAAAAGGUUUCCUCUGCGAGGUUUUACUGGAGCUCAGAAACUACUGAGCUGAGUUACUCUAGGGACCAGCUCACGUCCUUACCUUCUUUAGCAGAUGAGCCACGCCACAACUGCAUCGAGACAAGGAACAAGCACAGGUAACGUUACUCCGGUUUCUUCUCUUCAAUCGUCGCUAGUUCCAACGGUUGUGGUUCUCUGAACUGAAGAUCAGAAAAUACCUCUGGAAGUAACGACGACGAUGAGCUUAACGUCUACCUUAACUGGACCUAAUCAAGCAGUUCGGACGGUCAGGAGGAGGGCACCUCACUUGUUUGAAAAAUGUUAGGCUAAUUUAAACGGAGCCAUACUGCUCACCAAAACAUUGGCAAUUUGAGGAAGCCCGGACUACGCGCUCAUAAAAAUAGACGCCAAGAUUUGAAACUCUAAAU
This 5496-nucleotide ribosomal RNA is filed under the name Triticum aestivum (bread wheat). Its description in RNAcentral is "partial small subunit ribosomal RNA". The record is from RNAcentral. Lineage: Eukaryota; Viridiplantae; Streptophyta; Magnoliopsida; Poales; Poaceae.